AUGAUGUACAAGUCUUUUAAGCACCAGAAAACUUCACUUUCCACUUAUACCCUUUCUCCUAAACUAAACACACAAACUAGGGUUUCUCUCCUCUCUCAUUUGGUCCGCCGCUCAUCCUCUCAUCCUCUGCUCUCUCUCUCUCUAUGGCGAUUGUGACUUCAUCAGGCCUCUCUCUCUCGGAUCUCGCCAGAUCUGUGAGGAUUUCACCACAUCGAUGAAGGCUUCUACGGAGGCAUGUACAUAAAAGAAAAGAUGGAAAUCACUUGGAAAGGGAAGUUUGAUCAAGUUUAUAUAUCUAAUAGAAAGAGGGUUGAACCCAAAAGAAAUUUGGGGUUAUAAAGUUUGUGAACCCAAAAGAUUACAAGAAACCAAACUUGUUGGAGCGAGAAGUCAAGAUUUUUCUCUUAACGAUGUCAGCAAAGGUGCACCCUGGAUACAGGUUCUUGGCUAUUAUCAAUCGAAAAACCGGCCUCGAGAAUCACGUUCUAGAGCGUUGAAGCUCGAUUUAGAAUCCGUUAGAUGGCAUGUCGUCGUGUCGUUCUGUUUGCUUAAACAGGUUACACAUGUCAACCCAAACACGGCCCGUUUAUUAAACGAGUUAGAUAUGAGAACCCAAACCUAAUUAUUUCCGUCUCAUGUGUCGGGUCAUGUUAGAAAUUCUCACCCCUACUGAAUUCAUUGUAGCCGGAAGCAACUAAAAGGCACGGAAAAUAUAUUGGCAAGUGCAUGAAGCUGCUGCAAACAAUCUUGACUGUUGAUGAUCUCAACUACCCGGAGAAGACCAUCACAUACUAUACAGUUAACGUUCCAUACGUACUUUCUGCUUGUUGGAAGGUUGUGAAACCACUGUUGCCGGAGCGAACAAGCCGCAGUGUUUUUCUAACGAGGAGUUCGUGAUUCGCAGCUGAUCCGAUUAUCCGGUUACACAAAAGAGGUUACAUUUAUUCAGUGCUUUUCCGCCUUCGCUCUUUUGGUUAUGCUAUCAAUCCACAUAUGUUCGAAUGCGGUGAAGUUCGCUUAAACCUUAGCCACCAAUGGACCUUACCGAGUGGACAAAUCUGGGUGCCUCUUGAGUUUGAGGACACUUUAAACUACAUAGCAGGCUUAUGAAGUGAAGCAGGAUCAUAUGGCAUAUGUCGGAUCAUUCCACCUUCAUCAUAGAGAAUGGGUCGGUUUGGGUUGACUUGCAUGGGACAGGAUUUCUUUAUACUUGUCAAAAAGAGAAAUUCUUUAUUUUGGCCAAAACGGGUCAAUUUGGGUUAAUUUGCAUGGGCUGGUUCCCAAUACAGGUUAAACGAGUGAUUAUUGUAUUCUUGUCAGAAAGGGUAUUCUUUUUUAUUAAUGGUCAAAACGGUUCAGUUUCGGUUGACCUGAAACACCCGGGUGUAAAGUAAGAUCAAACUAAAGUACGACUAAACUCUCUAAUAUUAUUUCAAUUAUAGUAUGAAUAUUUUUUUUAUAAAUUGGUGUGCAUUAAAAAACGCUUUAGGUGACUUUCGACAUCUGCCACCCAUUUGACCCGUUUCCUUUUUAACCAAGUUUCUCUAUUUUACUUGAUUUACCCAGUGGAUAUAAUAAUAUAAACUGAGUUGACCACUUUGAUUCAUAAUUUUGACCAUUAUUUACUUUGUUUAAUUAUGCAGUACAAGAUGAUGGCCCUUAGAAUUACCAAAUUAGGCACAUCAGAUAUUCAGUUACAAAAUGAGCAUUACCAUAGUUGUAAUCUUCAAGUUAUUAUUGUAACAUUUCUGAAUGAUUAUGGGAUGAUAUUAGGUCUUUACAUACAUUGUUUUUGUAUAAUAGCAGAAAAAGCUCGGUUGCAAGCGGCAGCAGAGGCUGCCGAAAACGCAAGAAGGCGAGCAGAAGCAGAAGCUGCGUUAGAGGCAAAGCGAAAGAGAGACCUCGAGAGGGAAGUAGCUCGUCAGGCGUUAUUGAAGGAUGAUGAACACGAAGAAGACAAUGAUGGUGAGCUCGAACCACCAACUGUUGUUCCAGGUCAUCAGAUAAAUAUGGACGUGGAAGAAGGCAAAAUCGAUUGAGUGUUUUAGAAUAAUUAGUAUCAUCUUUUAUGUAUAGAAUGAUUUCUGGCUAUUAAGCCUGGUCAGGAACUGAAAAAAAUCAAAAAAAGAA
This is a long non-coding RNA of Helianthus annuus (common sunflower), 2130 nucleotides long. RefSeq lists it as uncharacterized. The transcript has 9 exons. The record is from RefSeq and is a predicted model, not a curated record. Lineage: Eukaryota; Viridiplantae; Streptophyta; Magnoliopsida; Asterales; Asteraceae.